This 490-nucleotide ribosomal RNA is filed under the name uncultured bacterium. RNAcentral's name for it is "partial 16S ribosomal RNA". It matches the Rfam family "Bacterial small subunit ribosomal RNA", at positions 28 to 506 of the family's 1533-position model. The record is from RNAcentral.
GAUGAACGCUGGCUACAGGCUUAACACAUGCAAGUCGAGGGGAAACGACGGGGAAGCUUGCUUCCCCGGGCGUCGACCGGCGCACGGGUGAGUAACGCGUAUCCAACCUGCCUCUGACUGAGGGAUAACCCGUCGAAAGUCGGCCUAAUACCUCAUGGCGUCGUCUGCGGGCAUCCAACGACGAUUAAAGAUUUCAUCGGUCAGAGAUGGGGAUGCGUCUGAUUAGCUUGUUGGCGGGGUAACGGCCCACCAAGGCGACGAUCAGUAGGGGUUCUGAGAGGAAGGUCCCCCACAUUGGAACUGAGACACGGUCCAAACUCCUACGGGAGGCAGCAGUGAGGAAUAUUGGUCAAUGGGCGAGAGCCCGAACCAGCCAAGUAGCGUGCAGGAUGACGGCCCUAUGGGUUGUAAACUGCUUUUAUGCGGGGAUAAAGUGAGGGACGUGUCCUUCAUUGCAGGUACCGCAGGAAUAAGGACCGGCUAAUUCCGU